Malaya genurostris is the source of this 526-nucleotide long non-coding RNA. RefSeq lists it as uncharacterized. The transcript has 2 exons. The record is from RefSeq and is a predicted model, not a curated record. Lineage: Eukaryota; Metazoa; Arthropoda; Insecta; Diptera; Culicidae.
GGUUCGGAAAUCAUCUAAAAUAAAGAAAAAAAAGUUAGUGUAGUAUCGCCCUGUUUGUUGGCAUGGAACACGGAAGGCGAAAUUUGCGUAAACAAAUGGAAUGAUAGUUUCUCCGACGACACGACCUGCCACUCGUCUAUCAAAACUGUAUCGCAAAUUUAACUACCCCUCAGUAACUGGUAAUGUCAAAAUGAAAUUGCUCGGAACAAUUUUGAAACUGGCAACACAAGUUGAUAGAAUAUUGAUUUUAAAUAACAGUUACCAUAACCUUGGUGACUGCUUAGUGAAGACUAAUGUAAACAAAAAAAAAUGGCAAAACGAGUAUUUCAUAUCGAAAAAUUGAAAUGUAUCUAGUGGAAGAUCUCUUUUGUGCAGAAAAGGACAAACAAAAAACAACUGAUCUAGAAAUGAUCGAAUAUAUUUACUGCCCAGCAAAAUUGUUUUGUUCUGACUGGUCACUAUACAAAUCGUUCUCCCCCAGAUAGUUUUAUGUAUGUAUUUGUAUGAAAUAAACGUUUUCUUUCAA